RNAcentral lists this ribosomal RNA (465 nucleotides) under uncultured bacterium. Its description in RNAcentral is "partial 16S ribosomal RNA". It matches the Rfam family "Bacterial small subunit ribosomal RNA", at positions 28 to 507 of the family's 1533-position model. The record is from RNAcentral.
GACGAACGCUGGCGGCGUGCUUAACACAUGCAAGUCGUACGGAAAGGCCCUUUCGGUGGUACACGAGUGGCGAACGGGUGCGUAACACGUGCGUAACCUUCCCACACCUUUGGGAUAACGCUAGGAAACUGGUGCUAAUACUGGUUAUGUGCCCUUUCUUCAUGGUGGGGGUUGGAUAGCUCCGGCGGGUGUGGAUGGACUCGCGGCCUAUCAGCUUGUUGGUGGGGUUGUGGCGUACCAAGGCGGCGUCGGGUAGCCGGACUGCGGGGGUGACCGGCCACACUGGGACUGAGGUAAGGCCGAGACUCCUACGGGAGGGAGCAGGGGGGAAGAUUGAACGAUGGGCGCAAGGCUGGUGAAGAAACUCCGCGGGCGGGAUGACGGCCUUCGGGUUGAAAAACGAAUUCAGCAGGGACGAAGCUUUUUGUGACGGUACCUGCAGAAGAAGCACCGGCUAACUACGUG